Molecule: long non-coding RNA, 2100 nt
Organism: Dreissena polymorpha
Lineage: Eukaryota; Metazoa; Mollusca; Bivalvia; Myida; Dreissenidae
Exons: 3
Source: RefSeq, a predicted model, not a curated record
UGCUAAAGGGACUUGUUCACAAAGUUUGGCAUGUUUUGAAGGUAGUCAUGAAAUGCUUUUAAUUGAUAAAUGUAAACAUCGGAACUAAAUAGUUCCAGUCCAGUAUAAACCAAUGAUAAAAUUAAAGAAAGAAAAAAAUGUAAUCCACACCAGGGCUUGAACCACUGACACCUGGAGUAAAAGUCUAGCACCAACCACUUGGCUGUCCGUACUGAUAUAGUACGCUCAGGUGUACUAUUUAUACUUUAUGUAAGCAAUCUUUGUAAUGUAACAAAUUAUAGCUCCAAUAUAAAAACAAGAAUAAAAGUAAAAAGAAAACAAACAGAAAUAAAAGUUUAUCACACCGGGGCUCGAACCACUGACCCAUGUAGUAAAAGCCAAGCGCCGAAACCGCUCAGCAAUCCGUCUUCACAUGUGGGUUUGUGUAAUUCAGAGUUCAUGUUCUGGUCGUCAUUGAGUCUUUACAACUACAUUAUGUGCGGACCUGACAAACCGUCUUCACAUGGGUUGACAUUUAUUUUAUACUUUGUAAAACCAUCUGCGUGUUGUUACAAAAUAUAACGAUGACACAAGAAAUCAAAAAUUUAAAAUUGUUUCGCGUAUGAGACGCUUUAUAAUUUUAUCAAUUUCUAACGAUGAUUUUUAGUAAACGAAAGUGUAUUUUCAGUAAAAGUCUGCGGCAUUAGUGUUAUUUCGCACACUGAUGUAUAUUGUUCAUUUAUUUCUUAAAUAUGUGACAAAAAGUUGAAACAUUCUCAUUUUGAUAGAGUGUGAACAAGUCCCUUUAACAUUGACAGCAAAUGUUUUGUUUUGGAAGUUAAAUUAAUACUGGCUAAAUUUGCAGGUGUGUUAUUGUUUUAAAUUGAGAUGGUGAACAGAUACUUCAUGAAUUAUAUGAAUCACCAGGGAAAGGACCCAACUACUUGCACAGAUGCAUCCUGGCGGGUGAAAGAAGGGAUGAUCACUUUGGCAACAGAUUGUUCAACUGCUUAAAUGUUGAUGUGGACUCAGUCAAAGAAUUUGCUGUAACUGUGUAUGUCUCUUCACUAUGUGGACAUAAAGUGCUACAGCUGGUUGGAGAUUAAGAUCACAAUGUACUGUUUUAAUGGAGAACAUCUGUGAAUAUUUAUUCUAACAAUGGAAAUUCAAACCUGAAUUAUUAUAAUUAGAAAACAUUUUCAUGUACAUGCUGGAAUUUUAUUUGAAGUGUAAAACUAAAAUAAUUUAGAAUUAUUUUUAAACACAAACACAGUUUUAUUAUAGAAAUAAUUGUAUAAACUUAAGAGAAAUCAGUGUUUAAGUGAUGCAUUUUAUUUAGUGUUUGACCUAUUUAACACCUUAACUAUGUUUUUUUAUGUUGAAUGUAAUGGUAAUAAAAAAAAACAUAAGCUGACAUCCAAAGGGUUUUAACCUUAAAGGGAAUUGUUCACAGAUUCAGGCAUUUUUUUUAAGUAUGUCAGUAGAAGCCUUAAAUUGCUAGAUUUUAACCUCAAAAUAGAAUUUUAGAAGAGAUAAAAACACCAGAAAAAUAUUGGUAUCCAUGGGGGUCCUUAAAUUAUUUAACCUAUAACACUCGGCCAUCUUGAAUUUUAUAUUUAAGCAUUCAUUUUAUACUUGAUAUAUGUGACCCAUGUGAAAUAACAAAAUAUAACAGAAAAAACAGAAUCAUUAAAAAUUAUCCAAUCAUCACCCUGUUUAAUUGUAUCCAUUACACAUGAUGAAUACUCAUAAAAAAGCUGUAUUUUCAGUUUGAGUCUACAUCAUUAGUGGCAUUUUGCUCCCUGAUUUACAGUACAUGUAUUCUUUUUUAUUUUGUAUCUGUUCCUUAAAUUUGGAAAAUGGUCAGUUUUACUAUCUGUGCACAAUUCCUUUUGAUCUUUAUUCUUAGUUUUGUGAUCAAUGGAAUGCCUAAUACCAUUUCAAUAGUAAAUGAGAUUACGGGUAAGUACUUGUUAAACAAUAAGGCCGUAAAACGUGCAAAGCCCUUCUUUAUUGUAUCUCAAAUUAUGAAAAGCAAUUCUGAGAUUUUUAUGUUUUCUAACAUUUAAUUACUUUUUUGAGUUACUUAUUAUAAGUAAAUGUAAUUUUUGUAAGAUUAAA